UGUGGAAAUAAAUAGCACUGACAGAGGAAGAGCAUUAAUCAGAGGCCUCAGUGACCUCUAAAGCUGGUUUGUGGUAGUUCGAUGAAAUGCAAGUAUGUCUGAAAUAUGCACAACUUAAUCCCCGAACCCGCAGCGGAGCCUUGUGAGAAACACGAUGUGACAUCUCGGGGAGGUCGCGGGGAUGUUCAACAUUUCUGAAGGUCAAAAAAAAUUGCAGUAUUUUCUGCUGUUGUGCAACAAGUUUGAUUGAACCAGUUGUUUCUCAAGUCUGUCAUUAUGGUUCCAUCACUUCUGUCAACAGAAAGAUCUGCUGUGUAGCUUUAACCCUUACAUGGUAUUUAUAUUAUAUUAAUACUGUUAAAGUCUAGCUCCAACUGUCACUGUAGCCAGUAGUGCUGAAUUUGAGCUUCGUCCCCCAGUUCCAGCAGCUGUAGUGGAUCCAUUAGCGGACUGUUGGACUGUUAGCUCCCAGUGAUCAGCAGCUCCAGCUUACGAUGCCGAACUGACAGUGAGAUUGUGGACAUAUGACGCCCUUCAGUGUUUCUAGAGUUACGUGUUUUUACAGAUAUUUAAAUUUUUUUUUUUAAAUGUGAUAUUUUUUAAAGGGAAUUUGGUGCAAAGAGGUUUAAGUUGGAUUCAAACAGCUAAUAUGGAUCAUUUUUAAAGUCUGAUAAUGUUGUCUGACAAUACCUGCUGACAGUUAUUAUUAAAACCUUCUAAUAAUUCUGGAGAAAUUACAGAUCUGACCAACUCUGUUCUGCUUUUAUAAAUGAAGAUGUGUCUCAGUGUCUGUGUGUGUUUGACAGUCUGCAACAGACCAGAUCAGGUAACAUCAGAGGACAGGACGAGGUCACGGACCCCAAAACUGAAGACACAGCAAACGUCACACCGAUCCUUUAUUCCCUGUGGUCAAACUGUCCUCAGAUGCUGCGUUCAUGGACCUGCUGUUCACUGGGAAGUGGACUUUAAUGAGACUGAACUACAAGAACAAACUGAAAUGAUCCUUUAACUAUUACUGAUUAAAUGACUGAACUCCAUCAUUCUGUCUGCAGAUUGAUUUUUAUCAUGAAAUGCAAACAGCAGCAGUGGAUUGAACAAACAACCCGAGAGCUCUUUCAAUAUCUAUAUAUAUAAACAUUAAAUAUCUGUAAUUAGCAGUAAAUGAGGCGACAGAGUCCAAAGAGCCAUGUAUGGUCAUUAAAGACACACGGAGCAGCGUGUUCACUCUGGCUCUCCGUUAGAAUUAGAUUGCUACGAUUUAUAGCUCCAUGCUGAGUGCUUUCAGGUCAGAAAACGAGGGUUGAAUGAAAUUAUCCCCCAGACGACACUUAGUGAAGGUCAGUGCUGUCACACCCUGCAGCAGGAGGACGGACCGCCUCCUCCUGUGGAGGUUCAUGUUCAUAGGACUCAGAUUUUACGUACGUAGGGCUCGACUUCACGUUGAUGAUAUUAAUGUAUUGAUUAUAAUGUGUAUAUGUGAACAGCAGCCUGUUAAACAGCUGUAAUGAUUGUGAAUCACAACAAGCAGCAAGGAGACUGAACCUUUAGUUCCUUUAUUCCAACACAGUGUAACAUCACACAGUCUGGUUGUUCAGCACACAGAAUAAAUAACUGAAACUGAUCAGACUGAUCGAUACGAUGGAUGAUGGAUAACGUUAACAGUUACUAAUUAACUGGCUACAAACUGGCUCCUCUUCCUCCGUUUCAUUCCUCUCGUGUUGCUGCCUGAACCCGCCGAGUCUUCAUCCCCAGAGUCAGAGUCAGAGUCAGAGUCCUGGUCGGAGCCGCUGACUCCUCCUGUCCUUCCAGCUCCCAGUCCGGGUACAGGCAGCUAAUAGGACCGCUAACUAUCUAAUAGCAGCUAGAACAGUUAGCAUAUGCAGCACCGCAGCAGUAAGAGACUUCCUGUGUUACAAGAGAAACAACAAUCCUCUGAUACUUCGGUCCCGGCGACUAAUGAUUAAGUCGACUAUUAGGGUCUAUUAAGUUAUAAAAAAUAACCUUAUUUGACAUGGUGGAGUGCUGAGGGUGAAUUCAGGAGUAUUAAAGGAAGGAAGAAGCUGUUCUUAAUCCUGGCCUGCAUUAAAUUUCCUAUAUAACAAUAAAGUAUAUAGUUAAUAUAAAAAUAUGAAAAAAGUUGUUAAAAAAUAAAAUAUUAUCUUUUUUUUUUAAUAAAUAAAAAAAUACAAAUUAGAAAAUAAAAAUAGAAAUGUUGUGCUAAAUAUAAGUUACGCUAAGCUAACCAUGUCCCAGCUCCAGACAGUGGUAUCAGUCUUCUCAAUAUGAAAGUGUUUGUUUCGGUCUCACUUUAUCUGUUUAACCUUCGAGCUGCUGCAGAACUCGAGUUGGAUUUGAUGAGAAAGUUUAACGUCUCCCUGGAGUCGUAUUUCCUGACGAGAGCAGUUUGCUGAAACUGCGUCGUCGGGCGUCAGCGAAGAGGUCACGCAAACAUUUGUGUCGGACUCACGGCAUCUGUUGAGUGUGUGUGUGUGUGUGUGUGUGUGUGUUACAGAUGCCGAGCUGCUGUGCGUGAAGAGAAAGAGAGGGAGGCGACGAGGUCGGACGACCGGGGGGAGAAAAAUGUGUGAAUAAUCCAAAAGUUAACGGCUGCUGCUGUUAAUGGGGAAAGAUUUCUGGAUGUGAACCCAGACGGUGCUGGCGAGACUCCUGCAGCAGUCACAGCCAGCGUCUCUUUAGGUGGAAAAAGAAAGGAUUUAAUAACAUCAGUGAAAACAACUCGGCUAAGAGGUUAUUUUGUGAAUGAAAGCUUCGACUGGAGCAGCUGAAGGAGCUUCAGCGCAGUGAUAUCGUUUCUUAUCUCUUGAUUCUUCAUAGAGUUUCUAUUGACGAUACAGGACAGC
Dicentrarchus labrax (European seabass) is the source of this 2861-nucleotide long non-coding RNA. NCBI's taxonomy places the organism in Eukaryota, Metazoa, Chordata, Actinopteri, Moronidae. The record is from Ensembl.